RNAcentral lists this ribosomal RNA (206 nucleotides) under uncultured bacterium. RNAcentral describes it as "partial 16S ribosomal RNA". It matches the Rfam family "Bacterial small subunit ribosomal RNA", at positions 568 to 774 of the family's 1533-position model. The record is from RNAcentral.
CACGCAGGCGGUCUGUCAAGUCGGAUGUGAAAUCCCCGGGCUCAACCUGGGAACUGCAUCCGAAACUGGCAGGCUAGAGUCUUGUGGAGGGGGUAGAAUUCCAGGUGUAGCGGUGAAAUGCGUAGAGAUCUGGAGGAAUACCGGUGGCGAAGGCGGCCCCCUGGACAAAGACUGACGCUCAGGUGCGAAAGCGUGGGGAGCAAACA